Microcebus murinus (gray mouse lemur) is the source of this 2923-nucleotide non-coding RNA. The record is from RefSeq and is a predicted model, not a curated record. Lineage: Eukaryota; Metazoa; Chordata; Mammalia; Primates; Cheirogaleidae.
GGGCCACCGUGUCCGGCCUAUUUCUUUCUUAAUAUUUGCUAAUUAAAAGUUUAAAAGGCAACUAGCUCAUCAGCAGCCAUAAACUCACAGAUGAGAGAUUAUGUAUUACAACGUACGUAUGAAGCAAGUGGUGAGUGUGACGUAGUCAGGGUAGAGCUCUGGACUGAGCGGGGAGACCCUUACUGUGAGCGGGUGCCUGAGUGCACUUAAAGAUGAGGAGCUGAGGGAGCCCAGGGGAGGAAAGGGUGGCCAGAGCAGGCACUCCUCUUGCUCUUCUGCCAGGCAGAGAGGGGCAGGAGAGGCAGGUGGCGAGCCUGGGCUCAGUCACUUCAGGGUUGAAAACCUGGUUUCCUGAGAGGGCCCUUUCCAGCUCUGACACGCCAGGGUCUAUGAGUAAGUGGCCAAAUCAUUUAUCACCAAACUGGUAGACUUUUGAGACGGUAAGAGGGUGAUAUUAAAAAGAAAGCUAGGCAACAAGCACAGACCCGGACUGUCCUGUAUGGUCACCCUAUGGCUGAGGCCACUGUGGCGAGAGGGUACUGCGUAACGCUCCAGAAUCUUGAUGGCAGAUGGACGGGUGCUGCCUGACUUCCACGGACCCAGGUAAGAGAAAUACUGUACCUUGCUCAGCCUUAUGUAUUUAAUAAUUAUCCUCUUAGACAGUCCUUCACGUAUUCAUUCAACUCUCCUUUACUGCGAGCCUGUUAGGAAUAAAGCUAACAGGAACACAUGGUAUCGGAAGGGCUGAACGAGGGGAAGACUCUCCCCAGGUUAGCACGAUGCAUGUGGACAUGUGCAGCCUGGAUCCCCUCCAAAGGACUUGUGGCAACUCCUGUGGAUACGUGGGCAGUCAGCCUCACCUAAGGUCACACCCUUCCCAGGCCACCCACACUGCGUGACUGGCCAGGCAAGACUCGAGCAGCCAGGCCAUCUUGGCGCAAGGUGGGGCCAUCCUGACACACGUCAGCCCCAGAGCGCCUGGCUUUGUUAGCCUGCGACUUCACUUCCUCCGUCUGAUCCUGUUCUUGUCCUCCCUUCCAGCUUUUGAUCCCAAAGGCUCUUCCUAAUGAACCUGCUGCACGCUAAACACAGUCUCAGAGUCCGCUUCCCAGCGAACUCAACUUCUGACAAUUGUUCUAUCUUGACAGGGAGAGAGGAGAGACCAGAGUGUCAAGGCAGGGAGGGGUGGAGGAUUCACUAUUAUAACAUUUAUAUUUACAAAGUGAGAAAGGACUAUGGCACCUGAAAUAUAAUUUGCCCGGUCUGCAAAAGCCCAGAAUAGCCAGCGGCCAGAAGGGCUCAGGUUCAAAACAGCCCAGUAGAAAGGCCUAUCCUACCCCAGCAACUGUGUGACCUUGAGCCAGAUGCCUAAUCUCUCUGACCUUCAGUUUCCCCAUCUGUGAAAUGAGAAGAUAAUAUUUAAUAUUAACUAAUUCAUAUUUUAAGGAAUUAGUUAGAAAAAAAAGCCCCUUCAUACAUUCCAACAUGCUAUAUAAACAUUAAUUACUACUUUCUACUGCUUUUUGAUUCUGAAGAGUAACAAAUAAUGAUUAACUACUGACAACUCAAUUUGAAUUUCAAGAGAAAGCGAUCCCAGCCAGCCCUGGUAGCCAGUAAUUACUAUCUCUGCUCUUUUUCUUUUUUUUGCUGUUUUUCUCAACUCAAUGACAUGGAGCUGAGAUCCGUGUUUUACAAGUACAUUGUAUAUACUGGAGAGGUUUAUGGCUCAUCCUCUUAAUUUAAAGAACAGUCUCAGAAGUCCCUGUCAAGCGGCAAUGUGUACUGCUCAUACUGUAUUGGGAUCUGAAUAAUGAGAUGGAAGAAUCUGCCCUUGAAAACACCCUUUGUGAACAGUCCCAGCUGGCAUUGAUGAGCCUUUCAUUUAUUCAUCUGGAGGAGGAGAGACUGGGACCUGCUUUGACCUCAGGGUUGGAUGAACCUUCAAAGACAAAGAACAGUGUGGUGCCUUCAGGAAAGAUGACAUCAGAGGGACAGUGGGGAGGAAUUCUGUGGCCUGUCUCUAGGCUGGAGGCAAGCUGGAGUCAUCAGGGCUAGAGAAACAAGGAGCCAGAGAAAGAGAGACUGUGUCCUGUUUGGCCUGGGUGGUUUUUGAUAGUAGUUCAUAAUUAUUCUAGCUCGCAUUUACUGGGCACUCGCUGUGGGCUAGCCACCAUGUACGUUACCUCAUUUUAAGUUGCUCAGCAUCCUUGUAUAAGGUAGGUACUGUUGUUAUCUCCCCUUACAGAGGAGGAACCCGAGGCAAAGAGAGGUCAAGCAACUUGCCUUAAGUCACACAGCUAGUAAGUGACAGAACCAGGAUUUGUAAUACAAACCGCAAGCAUUUGUAUUACAUAGCCAGCACUUAGCCACUGUACUGGUCCUUGUUUGCCCUUCCAGAUCCACGUGUGGCCCCCCAGAAGAAGACCCCUGCAAACUCCAGUACUGGCUGGCAUCCAGCUGGGAUCACCAGUGAGGGGCUGGAGCCCACAGGGAGCGGGCAAAGGACAGGUCAAGGCAUUUGACUCCAAGCUCCAGGGCCCCGAGAACCUUCCCACCCCUUCCUACUGGAGGUCUCCGGGCUCCUCGGUGUCCCUGUCUGCCCCUGUCCACAUGGCUAUACAAAGCCAUUCUUUUCCAUCUCUUCAUGUGAGCCAUGCAGGGUGAAUUCCUGCUACUGACACUGGCUCCACGUUGUAUCACACAGGUUACAACAGCAGGGUGGCAGCUGCCGACUCGUACAAAUCAAAUGAAGCUCCUGCCUGCUUGAAUAUUACUUUAUCAUGCAAAAACAGCGGGAUGAAAUAAAUGUAAGGUUUAGAUCCUGUUUGGAUCCUGAUUCAAAAUCAACCGUGAAAAACUAUUCAUGGGGAAAUUUGAACACUCCCUGGACAUGAGACAUUAAAGAAUUCUUGUUAAUCUCUUU